Long non-coding RNA from Schistocerca gregaria, 1137 nucleotides. RefSeq lists it as uncharacterized. The transcript has 2 exons. NCBI's taxonomy places the organism in Eukaryota, Metazoa, Arthropoda, Insecta, Orthoptera, Acrididae. The record is from RefSeq and is a predicted model, not a curated record.
UUUUAACCAUAUGGUCCUUUCGUACUAAUAUGGAUUAACAAUCUUAGGAUAGAAACCGACCUGGCUCACGCUGGUCUGAACUCAGAUCAUGUAAGAAUUUAAAGGUCGAACAGACCUAAUCAUUGGGCUCCUGCACCCAAAAUUUUUCUUAAUCCAACAUCGAGGUCGCAAUCUGCUUUGUCGAUAUGAGCUCUCAAAAACAAUUACGCUGUUAUCCCUAAGGUAACUUAGUCUUAUGAUCAUAAAUUAUGGAUCAAAAUAACAAACAUAAAUAAAUGAUAUAAUAAUGAAGAGUUUAUCUAUUCUUCAUGUCACCCCAACAAAACAUCAUCAUUAAAUAUAGAAAGACAAACAAAAAACUAUAUAAAAGUAAAAUGUCAAGCUCUAUAGGGUCUUCUCGUCCUAAAGAAGAAUUUAAGCCUUUUGACUCAAAAGUUAAAUUCAAAAAUUUAUUAAGAGACAGUUGAUUUCUCGUCAAGCCAUUCAUUCCAGCCACUAAUUAAGAGACUAAUGAUUAUGCUACCUUUGCACGGUCAAAAUACCGCGGCUCUUUAAAAAUACGCUCAGUGAGCAGGCCAGACCUCAAAAUAUAAACAAGAGGACAUGUUUUUGAUAAACAGGCGGAAAUCAAUUUUGCCUAGUUCCUUAUAAUAAGUUCACAAGGUAAAAAUUUCAUACAAAUAAAUAUACUAAUUCUAUCAUUAUUACAAAAAUUUUAAAAUUAAAUUAAUAAUCUUAAUAAAAAACCUAAAAUAUUUAUAAAAUCAAAAUAAAAAAUAAUGAACUAAAACGUAAUCUUAAAGAUAGCUGGUUUAAAGCUUACUAUUAUAUUUCUAUAAAAUAAAUUAUAGGUUAUUAACUUCAAAGCUUAUCCCUUAAAGAAUAAAUAAGUUAAUAUUUUUACUUAAAAAAUUAAAUAAAAACAAAUAACUUUAAAAAAUUAAAUUUUUUCUUAAGAAACUAGAUAUCUUGGGAAACGAUUAACAUCUCAUUUCUAUAAAUAAUUUAAUAAUAAUUAUGAUACAUUAACUAUAAAUUAUUUAUAAAUCAACCCAAAUCGAGACAAGUAAAAUAAAUACUAAAAUUUUGAUAAACCCUGAUACAAAAGGUACAAUAAAUAAAAUCUACUUAAAAAAA